CCUACGGGAGGCUGCAGUGGGGGAUAUUGCACAAUGGGGGGAACCCUGAUGCAGCGACGCCGCGUGGGUGAAGGAGCGUUUCGGCGCGUAAAGCCCUAUCGGCAGGGAAGAAGCUGACGGUAACUGACCUAGAAGCCCCGGCCAAAUACCGGCCAGAAGCCGCGGUAAUACGUAGGGGGCAAGCGUUUUCCGGGUUUACUGGGUGGAAAGGGGGCGCAGACGGCAAUGCAAGCCAGGAGUGAAAGCCCGGGGCCCAACCCCGGGACUGCUGUUGGAACUGCAUGGCUGGAGUACAGGAGGGGCAGGCGGAAUUCCUAGUGUAGCGGUGAAAUGCGUAGAUAUUAGGAGGAACACCGGUGGCGAAGGCGGCCUGCUGGACUGUGACUGACGUUGAGGCCCGAAGGCGUGGGGAGCAAACAGGAUUAGAUACCCCAGUAGUC
Molecule: ribosomal RNA, 440 nt
Filed under: uncultured bacterium
Lineage: Bacteria
Description: partial 16S ribosomal RNA
Rfam family: Bacterial small subunit ribosomal RNA
Source: RNAcentral